This 450-nucleotide ribosomal RNA is filed under the name uncultured bacterium. RNAcentral's name for it is "bacterial SSU rRNA". It matches the Rfam family "Bacterial small subunit ribosomal RNA", at positions 340 to 786 of the family's 1533-position model. The record is from RNAcentral.
UACGGGAGGCAGCAGUGGGGAAUAUUGCACAAUGGGCGCAAGCCUGAUGCAGCCAUGCCGCGUGUAUGAAAAAGGCCUUCGGGUUGUAAAGUACUUUCAGUCGUGAGGAGGUGUUAAGGUUAAUAACCUUAGCAAUUGACGUUAGCGACAGAAGAAGCACCGGCUAACUCCGUGCCAGCAGCCGCGGUAAUACGGAGGGUGCGAGCGUUAAUCGGAAUUACUGGGCGUAAAGGGCACGCAGGCGGUUAAUUAAGUUGGAUGUGAAAUCCCCGGGCUUAACCUGGGAAUGGCAUUCAAGACUGGUUAGCUAGAGUCUUGUAGAGGGGGUAGAAUUCCAUGUGUAGCGGUGAAUGCGUAGAGAUGUGGAGGAAUACCGGUGGCGAAGGCGGCCCCUGGCAAAGACUGACGCUCAUGUGCGAAAGCGUGGGGAGCAAACAGGGAUUAGAUACC